This 381-nucleotide RNase P RNA is filed under the name Calditrichota bacterium. RNAcentral's name for it is "Calditrichaeota bacterium (activated sludge metagenome) RNase P RNA component class A". It matches the Rfam family "Bacterial RNase P class A". Rfam says of the family: Ribonuclease P (RNase P) is a ubiquitous endoribonuclease, found in archaea, bacteria and eukarya as well as chloroplasts and mitochondria. Its best characterised activity is the generation of mature 5'-ends of tRNAs by cleaving the 5'-leader elements of precursor-tRNAs. Cellular RNase Ps are ribonucleoproteins. The record is from RNAcentral. RNAcentral also lists the same sequence under 1 other name. Lineage: Bacteria; Pseudomonadati; Calditrichota.
CCGGAGAAUCAGGCGAUCGCCUCGUUCCCUGUGGAACGGGGAGGAAAGUCCGAACUCCACAGAGCAAGGUGCCCGGAGUUAAUCCGGGACGCCCGCUGCGUAAGCGCCGGGCGAUGGAAAGUGUCGCAGAAACGAUACCGCCCCGAUUUUUCGGGGUAAGGGUGAAAUGGCGGGGUAAGAGCCCACCGGCCGGUAUGGUAACAUCCGGGACGGACAAACCCCUCCUGGAGCAAGGCCAAAUAGGGAAGGAUGCUUCGGCAACGAGGCUGCUCGUCUCGUUUUCCGCUUCGGCGGAAUACACUUCCGGGUAGGCCGCAUCAGAUAAAUGGUCGCCCCCUGCCAGGCAGGAGACAGAAUUCGGCUUAUCGAUUUUCCGGUCGU